Molecule: ribosomal RNA, 253 nt
Filed under: uncultured bacterium
Lineage: Bacteria
Description: partial 16S ribosomal RNA
Rfam family: Bacterial small subunit ribosomal RNA
Source: RNAcentral
UACGGAGGGUGCAAGCGUUAUCCGGAUUCACUGGGUUUAAAGGGUGCGUAGGUGGGUCUGUAAGUCAGUGGUGAAAUCUCCGAGCUUAACUUGGAAACUGCCAUUGAUACUAUAGAUCUUGAAUACCGUUGAGGUCAGCGGAAUAUGUCAUGUAGCGGUGAAAUGCUUAGAUAUGACAUAGAACACCAAUUGCGAAGGCAGCUGGCUACACGAAUAUUGACACUGAUGCACGAAAGCGUGGGGAUCAAACAGG